AGCUCCAAUAGCGUAUAUUAAAGUUGUUGCAGUUAAAAAGCUCGUAGUUGGAUCUCGGGUCCAGGCCUGCGGUUCCUUUAACCAGGACACUGCUUGCCCUGACCUACCUGCCGGCUCUCCCUUGGUGCUCUUAACUGAGUGUCUCGGGUGGCCGGAACGUUUACUUUGAAAAAAUUAGAGUGUUCAAAGCAGGCUCGUCGCCUGAAUACUGGUGCAUGGAAUAAUGGAAUAGGACCUCGGUUCUGUUUUGUUGGUUUUCGGAACUGGAGGUAAUGAUUAAGAGGGACGGACGGGGGCAUUCGUAUUACGGUGUUAGAGGUGAAAUUCUUGGAUCGCCGUAAGACGAACUACUGCGAAAGCAUUUGCCAAGAAUGUUUUCAUUAAUCAAGAACGAAAGUAC
RNAcentral lists this ribosomal RNA (400 nucleotides) under phytoplankton environmental sample. RNAcentral describes it as "partial small subunit ribosomal RNA". It matches the Rfam family "Eukaryotic small subunit ribosomal RNA", at positions 587 to 992 of the family's 1831-position model. The record is from RNAcentral.